GUUUUGGGUCCUGGGGAAAUUUUAAAUUCUGACUUUCUGUCAUCCUACAAGGAAGAAAUGACUACCUUAUUAUACCACCAUCAAAGAGAUUAGAUUUAAGUGAGAGAGGAUGAGAGUGGAAAGAGGUAAAUUCUGGGAGAAGUAUCAAAUAUCAUCCAUACUCAUCGGAGUGAUAGUGCACCGUACCUAUCUCUCUUUACUGAAGUUGAAAGAAAGCCACCUGGUCCUCAGAAAAGGGCACUGGAGCAUGGAGGGCAUGGUGAUUUGA
This 268-nucleotide long non-coding RNA is filed under the name Monodelphis domestica (gray short-tailed opossum). Its description in RNAcentral is "lncRNA (ENSMODG00000043660.1)". The record is from RNAcentral. Lineage: Eukaryota; Metazoa; Chordata; Mammalia; Didelphimorphia; Didelphidae.